Molecule: ribosomal RNA, 442 nt
Filed under: uncultured bacterium
Lineage: Bacteria
Description: partial 16S ribosomal RNA
Rfam family: Bacterial small subunit ribosomal RNA
Source: RNAcentral
CCUACGGGUGGCAGCAGUGGGGGAUAUUGCACAAUGGGGGCAACUCUGAUGCAGCGAUGCCGCGUGGGCGAAGAAGUCUCUCGGUAUGUAAAGCUCUAUCAGCAGGGAAGAAGAAAUGACGGUACCUGAGUAAGAAGCACCGGCUAAAUACGUGCCAGCAGCCGCGGUAAUACGUAUGGUGCAAGCGUUACCCGGAUUUACUGGGUGUAAAGGGAGCGCAGGCGGCACGGCAAGCCUGAUGUGAAAGCCCGCGGCCCAACGGCGGGACUGCAUUGGGAACUACCGGGCUGGAGUGCCGGUGAGGUAGGCGGAAUUGAUGGUGUAGCGGUGAAAUGCGUAGAGAUUAGAAGGAACACCAGUGGCGAAGGCGGCCUACUGAGCGGUGACUGACGCUGAGGCUCGAAAGCGUGGGGAGCAAACAGGAUUAGAUACCCGUGUAGUC